GCCUGUCCCCUGUCAUU
Molecule: unclassified non-coding RNA, 17 nt
Filed under: Mus musculus (house mouse)
Lineage: Eukaryota; Metazoa; Chordata; Mammalia; Rodentia; Muridae
Description: oocyte_clustered_small_RNA10908
Source: RNAcentral